UGGUAGCUCAGUUGGUUAGAGCGGCGGAUUCUUAACCCGCAGGUCGAGGGUUCGACUCCCUCCCG
Molecule: transfer RNA, 65 nt
Filed under: marine eukaryotic metagenome
Rfam family: tRNA
About the family: Transfer RNA (tRNA) molecules are approximately 80 nucleotides in length. Their secondary structure includes four short double-helical elements and three loops (D, anti-codon, and T loops).
Source: RNAcentral